CCUACGGGGGGCAGCAGUGAGGAAUAUUGGUCAAUGGACGAGAGUCUGAACCAGCCAAGUAGCGUGAAGGAUGACUGCCCUAUGGGUUGUAAACUUCUUUUAUAAAGGAAUAAAACGAGGCACGUGUGCCUUUUUGCAUGUACUCUAUGAAUAAGCAUCGGCUAACUCCGUGCCAGCAGCCGCGGUAAUACGGAGGAUCCGAGCGUUAUCCGGAUUUAUUGGGUUUAAAGGGAGCGUAGAUGGGUUGUUAAGUCAGUUGUGAAAGUUUGCGGCUCAACCGUCAAAGUGCAAUUGAUACUGGCAUUCUUGAGUACAGUUGAGGUAGGCGGAAUGCGUGGUGUAGCGGUGAAAUGCUUAGAUAUCACGAAGAACCCCGAUUGCGAAGGCAGCUUACUAAACUGUGACUGACAUUGAUGCUCGAAAGUGUGGGUAUCGAACAGGAUUAGAUACCCUAGUAGUC
This 460-nucleotide ribosomal RNA is filed under the name uncultured bacterium. Its description in RNAcentral is "partial 16S ribosomal RNA". It matches the Rfam family "Bacterial small subunit ribosomal RNA", at positions 338 to 795 of the family's 1533-position model. The record is from RNAcentral.